This 373-nucleotide ribosomal RNA is filed under the name uncultured organism. Its description in RNAcentral is "bacterial SSU rRNA". It matches the Rfam family "Bacterial small subunit ribosomal RNA", at positions 526 to 896 of the family's 1533-position model. The record is from RNAcentral.
CGGGGGGGGCAAGCGUUGUUCGGAAUUACUGGGCGUAAAGGGCUCGUAGGCGGCCAACUAAGUCAGACGUGAAAUCCCUCGGCUUAACCGGGGAACUGCGUCUGAUGCCGGAUGGCUUGAGUUUGGGAGAGGGAUGCGGAAUUCCAGGUGUAGCGGUGAAAUGCGUAGAUAUCUGGAGGAACACCGGUGGCGAAGGCGGCAUCCUGGACCAACACUGACGCUGAGUGAGCGAAAGCCAGGGGAGCAAACGGGAUUAGAUACCCCGGUAGUCCUGGCCCUAAACGAUGAAUGCUUGGUGUGGCGGGUAUCGAUCCCUGCCGUGCCGAAGCUAACGCAUUAAGCAUUCCGCCUGGGGAGUACGGUCGCAAGGCUG